This 497-nucleotide ribosomal RNA is filed under the name uncultured bacterium. RNAcentral's name for it is "partial 16S ribosomal RNA". It matches the Rfam family "Bacterial small subunit ribosomal RNA", at positions 28 to 507 of the family's 1533-position model. The record is from RNAcentral.
GAUGAACGCUGGCGGCGUGCCUAAUACAUGCAAGUCGAGCGAACGGACGAGAAGCUUGCUUCUCUGAUGUUAGCGGCGGACGGGUGAGUAACACGUGGAUAACCUACCUAUAAGACUGGGAUAACUUCGGGAAACCGUAGCUAAUACCGGAUAAUAUUUUGAACCGCAUGGUUCACAAGUGAAAGACGGUCUUGCUGUCACUUAUAUAUGGAUCCGCGCUGCAUUAGCUAGUUGGUAAGGUAACGGCUUACCAAGGCAACGAUGCUUAGCCGACCUGAGAGGGUGAUCGGCCACACUUGAACUGAGACAAGGUCCAGACUCCUAAGGGAGGCAGCAGUAGGGAAUCUUCCGCCAUGGGCGAAAGCCUGACGGAGCAACGCCGCGUGAGUGAUGAAGGUCUUCGGAUCGGAAAACUCUUGUAUUAGGGAAGAACAUAUGUGUAAGUAACUGUGCACAUCUUGACGGUACCUAAUCAGAAAGCCACGGCUAACUACGUG